ACCACGCAGAGAUCAGCUCUUCCUGACAGGAUGUGUUCCACAGUUAUCCGGUAUUGACAAGAAUAAAAGCGUCAGCAAAUAUAUCCCCCCCCCCACCGAAGGGCGAAAGGGAUACAGGAUUGUUGUGUGUGUGUUAUGUAGUGGGAUGCAAUCUCGGCCGUAGUGUGACUUGAAAAGUCUUUGAGAUAUUGAGUUCAAACUUCAUAAACAGAUUUAUGUCAUUUGAGAGGUGCAAUACAAUUGUCGUACUGACUAUAUAUAGGGUCAGAACGUGAACAGUGCUGAUAGCUGUGUCCAUCAAUAGGAUAAUGGUUAAUAACUUAGUUUGUAAAACAUAUUUAAAAUGACCGACGGGUAAUUAUGGCGAUAUACAAAAGACAAACCAUCUAAAAACAACAAGCUAAGGAUCAGUGAAACCGGCAUCAUUGCGGACGUUAAGAAGAUCAUCUCAAGCUUGUGAUUGAUACGAGCAGAACCUGAUCUGAAGGUAACUAUGGGAGCAUUAUUGCGACAUGUAAUCAUAGUGUGUCCGACAUCAACAACAAGCAAAGAUGGUGAGGUGCUGAAGACACACCGUCGGGGUGUGACAAUCCCAGAUAAUGUCAGUCCGGAGUCACAGGUGUCUUUGCGGAUAUAAACAGUACGCUCUGCAAUUUGAGAACAAAAAGGCUUCAGAUCCAGAACUGGAAACGAUCAGAUGUAUUUGUCCGGACCCAUGCACGCGAUUCGAGAAAACAAUAUAUCUGAUCGAAGAUAGAUCAAUAUGAUGAGACGUCCCACGCUAAAUACCUGAUUUGGAGGAAACAUGAGCCUCUUCCAGGUAGAAUAUUGUCCUGAUUUGUCCGGCAUUUUCUAGAAGCACAGCUAGAUGGUAAGAUACAUAUUAUGCAUUUAGGCCACGACUUAUCAUCCAACAAUUACCUGUGGAGCUCUUCUGGUCGUUUAAGGGUGACAAAUACAAAAGAUGAACUUAUGUGCACAAAGCGGAGGGAUGCAGUUUCAGGUUAGUCGAGUCAGUACAUUAAAUGUUACUGAUUAAUAGCUAAUUUCUCGCUUAAGCAACAAUUGCAAAUUACAGAGUGUGUUGCGGUUAACUUAUUUGUUCUGGUUUCAAUGGAAUUAUCAGCGAUACAUGCUUGACUUUAUACUGGUAAAUGAUUUGGAUUAGGUGUAACAUUUGUUUGGAUUUUUCUUAAUUACUAAAAUGCUGCAUUGUUUACGCAAAAUGUCAACUUUCCUGGGCUUAUAAAUAUAGCAUUGUUGUCUGGUCUUAAUUUAAGACUGCAGAUAACUAUUUUCGAAAUACACUGACAGUUGAGUUAUGUCCAUCUACCUGCAUUAUUUGAGAGCCUAUUUUUAACAUUGAAGGCAACUGUUCACGAUCACAUUUGUAACUUUAUGCGAAAAAAUCCCUAUAAAGUAGUGUUGCUCUUUGACAGACUGGUAGGAGAUAUUCUGGUGACAUAACAUUGGAAUAUGAAACAUUCGGUCUAUCAAAAUUGAUCACAUUUAUCUCCCUUUGACCGCAUAUUCCGAAGUUUAACGACAAGUAGGUACUAGAUGCAGCAAAUACAAAUUUCCUGCUUAACAGACCAAGGGAUGGAUUGUGUAGUAUAUCUAUCUUAACAUACUUUUGACCAAAUGGAAGGUGUCAUAAAUUGGCUAAUAUAUUCAAUGUAAGCUUAAAAGUCCAGAAUAUAUACUUAAGAGGCUUUAAGUUUGGUUUUAUGUUACUUUAAUUUAUUUCCUAUUAAACCAAGUGUAUAUGAUGGUUAUGUUGUGCAUGAGAUUGAAUCUUUGGUCCAAAUGCUCUCUUUCAGGUAUGCCAAUACGCGUUUUUUCACCCUGAAUUACUGAUCAGGAAGUCUUAUGAAACAUUUCCUGUCAUAAAGUCGUCCGGAGUUGUCCGGUAAAAAGCAUUGAUCUGUACUUAAUUUUGGCUUCAGCAUACCUUCUGAGUUGCUAUCGUCAUUUACAGUUGAACAUGCAUCAAGCUAUAAAUAAUUGUAAAAACUAAGAUAAUCUAGCAAACAUUGUGUUGAAAUACAUAUGACAUCCAUGGGUUGACAAUUAAUGUUUUAGAUGUACACAUUUGUUCAUAUGGAAACUAAGAACCACUCUUCAAUUGAUGUCCAAUAACGGUUAAAAGUUAAAUAAAUCUCAACAUUUGACAUUCUGAUACCUAUGACAUAAGAAGUUUAGAGUCCAGUAGUUUCACAAACAGGUAACAAUUCGACUUUGAGGCUGAUCUAUUUAUUGUGUCUUGCGAAUGAAUCAUUAGUGCAAAUGUUCUCUUUCAGAAUUGCCAAUACGUGCGGAUGGUCCACACUGAAACACUGAUCUCCAUGUUACAAAAGGCUUUUGUUGGAAGGAUUUUAUCCUGAUAUGUCCAGCGAUUACUUCAAUCACACUAAUCUUCUUUGGUCACAAGACUGCUUCAAACCACUUCAUCUGUAACAUUACAGAUUUGACAAUUACAAUUUUCUGUACACAUGUUACACAUCUGUGCAAAACACUUUGAACAAUAAUACAUCUAUUCUGGUUAAUAACUAGGUUUGUAAAUAUUUUACCAUGAUCACAAAUGUGUUUUUGUUAUUGACUGAUUUUCGGCGGUAUGAUGAAGAUAUUACAUGAAAAUGUGACAGGCCUUUGAUAUGCAAGUUGUAUUCCUUUUAGUGAUUAAAAGGGAAGGAUAAGCAGUUUGCUUACAUCUCUAGAGUUUCUAAAUAUUGAUGUGACAAGGCAACUCCGAAUUAAACAUACUACACUUAUCAUUUGUCUCGAGGUUUCUAUGUCCUGGAAGUUACCCACCUGAACUAUUCCUAAUCAUACAGUAGUUUAAUGAUAAAUAGUGAUACUCCUACUAACCAAUUAAACACCAUAGUCUGGUAUUUGUAAUCUUAAACGAAGUUGGAGAGGAACUCCAUUAUCUCCUUUAAUGUUAACACUUCUUAAUCGAACGGAAAAUAGUAUUCCUCUAUGUUAACAGAACUAUUGUAAAUAUUCUUUGAUUUAAAUGUAUAAUGAACGAGAACGGGUAUCUCGUUUUAAUAAGUGAAGUGUAUUUAGAUCACUUACAGCCUGUUUGAACAUCUUUAUUUGUCCUUUAUAACAUAUGUAAUCUGCAUAAAAUGGAUUCACCUUUUUUUAUACAUUGCAUGUGUUGAGUGUAAAAAAUGUAUACAGCGAUAAUCACUUUCUUUCGUCCGGACAUAUGUCAUUAAGGUUUACUCUUGAGCUAAUAUGCACUGUCUAAACGAAUGUCUUAGUGGCUGUUUUCUUGGUCUUUGUUGCAUUGAUUUAAUAUUAUGUGUGGAUGACAAGUAAACUAAAACUAAGGAACUCUUCAUGGCUGAAUACACUUUUAGAUGUUAGAGUUUCUUUCUUUGUGCAGCUAGCCUUGCAUCAGGAAUGGUGUUGGUCAUUCGACUACGGAC
Molecule: long non-coding RNA, 3437 nt
Organism: Mya arenaria
Lineage: Eukaryota; Metazoa; Mollusca; Bivalvia; Myida; Myidae
Exons: 6
Source: RefSeq, a predicted model, not a curated record